This 891-nucleotide ribosomal RNA is filed under the name Sesquicillium sesquicillii. Its description in RNAcentral is "LSU rRNA". It matches the Rfam family "Eukaryotic large subunit ribosomal RNA", at positions 38 to 964 of the family's 3401-position model. The record is from RNAcentral. Lineage: Eukaryota; Fungi; Ascomycota; Sordariomycetes; Hypocreales; Bionectriaceae.
GCAUAUCAAUAAGCGGAGGAAAAGAAACCAACAGGGAUUGCCCUAGUAACGGCGAGUGAAGCGGCAACAGCUCAAAUUUGAAAUCUGGCCCCAGGCCCGAGUUGUAAUUUGUAGAGGAUGUUUCUGGCGACGUGUCUUCCGAGUUCCCUGGAACGGGACGCCAUAGAGGGUGAGAGCCCCGUACGGUUGACUGCCUAGCCUCUGUGAAACUCCUUCGACGAGUCGAGUAGUUUGGGAAUGCUGCUCUAAAUGGGAGGUAUACGUCUUCUAAAGCUAAAUACCGGCCAGAGACCGAUAGCGCACAAGUAGAGUGAUCGAAAGAUGAAAAGCACUUUGAAAAGAGGGUUAAAUAGUACGUGAAAUUGUUGAAAGGGAAGCGUUUAUGACCAGACUUGGGCAGGUUGAUCAUCCGUCGUUCUCGGCGGUGCACUCUGCCUGCCCAGGCCAGCAUCAGUUCGCUCCGGGGGACAAAGGCUUCGGGAAUGUGGCUCCCUCGGGAGUGUUAUAGACCGUUGCGUAAUACCCUGGGGCGGACUGAGGUUCGCGCUCUGCAAGGAUGCUGGCGUAAUGGUCAUCAGCGACCCGUCUUGAAACACGGACCAAGGAGUCGUCUUCGUAUGCGAGUGUUCGGGUGUCAAACCCCUACGCGUAAUGAAAGUGAACGUAGGUGAGAGCUUCGGCGCAUCACCGACCGAUCCUGAUGUUCUCGGAUGGAUUUGAGUAAGAGCAUACGGGGCCGGACCCGAAAGAAGGUGAACUAUGCCUGUAUAGGGUGAAGCCAGAGGAAACUCUGGUGGAGGCUCGCAGCGGUUCUGACGUGCAAAUCGAUCGUCAAAUAUGGGCAUGGGGGCGAAAGACUAAUCGAACCUUCUAGUAGCUGGUUUCCGCCGA